CGCGUAGGCGGUUCCACAAGUCAGGGGUGAAAUCCAGCGGCUCAACUGCUGGCCUGCCUUUGAAACUGUGGAACUUGAGUCCGUGAGAGGAAAGCGGAAUUCCUGGUGUAUCGGUGAAAUGAGUUGAUAUCAGGAGGAACACCGGUGGCGAAGGCGGCUUUCUGGUGCGGUACUGACGCUGAGGUGCGAAAGCAGUGGGGAGCAAACG
This 208-nucleotide ribosomal RNA is filed under the name uncultured bacterium. RNAcentral's name for it is "partial 16S ribosomal RNA". It matches the Rfam family "Bacterial small subunit ribosomal RNA", at positions 568 to 774 of the family's 1533-position model. The record is from RNAcentral.